AUUUGAUGAUGGGGGCAGCUAGCACACAGUCUCUUAAACCACUCCCAGUAAUCAUAUGAAGUUUCACCACUCUCUUGGCGAAUCCUAUAUAUUUAUUUUCUAAUAUU
Small nucleolar RNA from Humulus lupulus (European hop), 107 nucleotides. Lineage: Eukaryota; Viridiplantae; Streptophyta; Magnoliopsida; Rosales; Cannabaceae. The record is from RefSeq and is a predicted model, not a curated record.